This 363-nucleotide ribosomal RNA is filed under the name uncultured Desulfovibrio sp. RNAcentral describes it as "bacterial SSU rRNA". It matches the Rfam family "Bacterial small subunit ribosomal RNA", at positions 1020 to 1382 of the family's 1533-position model. Lineage: Bacteria; Pseudomonadati; Thermodesulfobacteriota; Desulfovibrionia; Desulfovibrionales; Desulfovibrionaceae. The record is from RNAcentral.
CGGGGAAUUCCGAGACAGGUGCUGCAUGGCUGUCGUCAGCUCGUGCCGUGAGGUGGUUGGGUUAAGUCCCGCAACGAGCGCAACCCUAUUGCCAGUUGCUACCAGGUAAUGCUGGGCACUCUGGUGAGACUGCCCCGGUUAACGGGGAGGAAGGUGGGGACGACGUCAAGUCAUCAUGGCCCUUACGCCUAGGGCUACACACGUACUACAAUGGCGCAUACAAAGGGCAGCGAUACCGCGAGGUGGAGCCAAUCCCAAAAAGUGCGUCCCAGUCCGGAUUGCAGUCUGCAACUCGACUGCAUGAAGUUGGAAUCGCUAGUAAUUCGAGAUCAGCAUGCUCGGGUGAAUGCGUUCCCGGGCCUU